GCCCCGGCCGGCCGGCAGGGGGCGGCGGCGCGGCGCCCCAUCCCGGCCUCCGGGCUUCCUGUCCGCCCUGCCGCAGGCUCGCCGACGCCUUCCUCAGAGGAUUGCGGACAGAUGAGGAGGCAGAGGGUCCGAGUGGACAUGUGUGGGAGGUCCCACAGCCACGGAGUAGCAGAGCUCUGUUCGAACCCAGGCUGGCCAUCCUGACAGGCUGGGACGUAUAGCCUGGGCAGAAGUCUGAAGACAGGCACUGGGAGUAAGACGGGAACUUUUGCCGAAAGGAUUGGCCAAGUGUACAUAUUCAACCGGUUACAGGAAGAGCUAUGAAUAUUCAUGAAGGAGAACCACAUACAGGUAUUAAGUUUACAGAUUUUGAAAGCAGAAAUAAGAAAUGGGAAGUGAUAAGAGAUUAAAAGAUAAAAUUGGUAAUCUUUCCUGUUCCUCAAAAUUGGGACUUGCCAAUGUUCUGAUGCAUAAAUGGUCCUGGCCCCAAAACUCAGACUUUCAUAAGAAUACAACCAUUGCUCCCACUGAGAAGCUUCUUACAACAGUACUGACGUGAUGCAUAAAGGGUCCUGGCCCAAGAACUCAGUCUUUGGUAAGAAUGCAACCUUUGCUCCCAGGGAACAGAAGCUUCUUACAACAGUACUGACGUAAUGGAACAGAAACCAGACUAAGGAAUCAGAAGUAAUGAGUUUGAGUCCUAAUUCUGCCACUUACUUGACCACUCUCUCUUGACCAUUUGGAACCUGUUUUCUCAUGUAUCAAAAUAAAAUAACAAUGCUUCUUUCAUAAGGUUGAGAUAGUAUGAAUGCACCUCAAUUCAUUAAUAAGGCACGCAGUUCUACCAAUUAUUUUCAUCUUAUUUUGAAACAGUUCAUUGGAUAUUUUUUAAAUUUAUUAAAUAUAUUUUAACAUAGCAAAGAAGAGAGAAUAAUAUGAUCAACACUCAGUUUAUUGAAUCAGCAUUUUGCCAUAUUUGCUUCAGAUUGCUUCUUUUGCAAUAAAUAACUUUUUUUUGCAUGGGAUACACUUAUACUAAAUAAUUAUUUGUUGUUUUUCUCAAAUUCAAAUUUAACUAGGUAUCCUGUAUUUUUUCUGCUUACUAUGGUAACCAUAAACUGGUGAGAUUCUUGAAUCAGAUUGCCUUGUUUAAUGUAACUUAGCUUUGAGAAGAAAUCCAAUUACUUGUGCAGAAUCAUUAUAUUUAUACAGAAGUUCUUUAAGCUUUUCACAAUAGAACUUUCAAAAUGAAUUCUGCAUGACACAGAUGAUAAAAUAAUGAUGGUUUCCUAAUAAUAACUACAAAUACCCAAAUCAUAAACACUGCCCUUCUUGUUCUUUUUAAAGAGAUAAAUAAAGGGAUCUGUAUGGAUUAAAAAAGGUUUUUGUGCUUGUUAACAUGGAAGACAUCAUUUGAUUCUGUAAUAAGAUUUUAAGGACUAAAAAAAUAUUCUGCUCUGUGAAAACACUAAGGAUGUAUUUGUUAAAAAUUCCUCAUUAGUACAAACUCCAUUCUAAGAGUCAUUCAACCUUUACUAAUGAUGAAUGCCACCACUUAUUGUACUCUUCCUGUAAUGAGAUAAAAAUCAUGUAUAACCACAUGAAAGUAACUGGAGAGGGAAGAACAAACAAGGAUAGAAGGAAAAAUAACUCAUCAAUUUAAGGAUAUUUUAAGUUGAAGAUCAGACUGUUGAAUAAGUCUACUUUAAUACUUUCCAAAUGGUAUUUUAACAGUAUCGCUUUGUGAAAAGAACCCUGAAGACCUUUUUUAAAUGCCUAGCUUUGUACAUAAGGAUCACUGAUAAAAAACAAUAGCAAUUGAAAGUAUUUUUUUCGCAAUUUAAUUAAAGUUUUUGACCACCUUACCGUGUGUUGAAUGUUGGACCAGGCACUCUGUGAGAUACACCUGUGACUUAGGAGCAUGUAAGAAACACAAAUGCACAAGUAAGCAUAAUACAAGGUAAAUUGUCAAAUAAAAUAACACAGAAUGAAAAGCUAUCAGAACAUAAAAGAGGGCAGUAUUCUGAUGUUGGUGAGAAGUUGGCAAAAGCUUCACAGAAAAGUGUCUCUUGAGACAGAUCUGGACAAGUAAGGAUGAGACUGGUGCGGGAACAGAAGCAAAAGGCAGAGGUGGGUAAGUUCAAGGUUUGAGCAAUGCCUGAGUGACCUUUCUUGACUUCCUCCUGCCUUAGGUUUACUCUUGCCCUGGCUCAUUACCUGGCUCAUUUCUACCCAUCUCUCCUCCCCUAUGUGCUUGGAACACAAUAAUCUCCCCAUAUUUCCCUAGCCAAUUCAUAAUCCUCACUGGGGCUUAAUUUUAUUGUCACUUCCUCUGCAAAGCCUUCCCAGACUACCCUUGCCUUCAAACUAGUUGAGCUCUAUAUCAUCUCAUGGCACACUGGAACUUCAUAUGCUUAUCUUACCUGCAGCUAAGAAAUAAGUUAAUUGUUUAACAACUACCUCGUUGAUUGUACCUUGAUUAUACAUUCCAUGAAGAGAGAGAUCUUUUUCUGUUUUGUUCACUGUGUGGCUGCUGGGCCUUAGCAUAAUGCUUGACACAUAGAAGAUACUCAAUGAAGUGUUGAUGAAUGAAUUCUGGUAAUAGGUUUUAUGUGUGGUUGAAUAUAGUUUCGAAUGCUUUUACAAUUUUGAUAGCUAUGUUAAAUUACAAGGCUUAUAAGAAGGUACAUAAGCAAAUUAAUAGGUUAUUCCGUAUAGAUUUUCAUAAUUUAAAGCGAUUUCAUAGAAGAUAUAGUAUGUAAUAGUCUUUUUCUUUUUCUUUUUUUUUUUUUGAGACAGAGUCUCACU
Microcebus murinus (gray mouse lemur) is the source of this 2808-nucleotide long non-coding RNA. RefSeq lists it as uncharacterized. The record is from RefSeq and is a predicted model, not a curated record. Lineage: Eukaryota; Metazoa; Chordata; Mammalia; Primates; Cheirogaleidae.